This is a long non-coding RNA of Papaver somniferum (opium poppy), 2005 nucleotides long. RefSeq lists it as uncharacterized. The transcript has 5 exons. The record is from RefSeq and is a predicted model, not a curated record. Lineage: Eukaryota; Viridiplantae; Streptophyta; Magnoliopsida; Ranunculales; Papaveraceae.
ACAAAGAAAAACCUAACCCUAUGUCCGUCUCUUCUUAAAAACUCUCUCCAUAAUUUUUCUUUCGAUCUCUUUCUUUCUCAUCGUAUGCAGUAUGCUGUGAUCUUGACUCACCUGUUUACCUUCUCGAGCAGCGACAGUGAUUCAGUGAUUUUGGUGUGUUUAUAAUGAAGGUUUUUAUUCACAGGGUGUAAAAUCAGAAAGAUGUGCAACUUAAUCUGAUUGAUUCCGCAAAACGAUUAGGAUUUUUAACUAAUCGUUAGAGGUGCCGAAGAGAGUGAAAGUUUUAAUAAGAACUGUAAGUAUUUUUAUUCAUUGAGAGACAACGGGGGACAAAUAAGCGGACGUCCAUUCUGUCCAAGGACCAUGAACAAUUACCUCCUUUCUAUCGUAAUGUCAUGUUCUCAGCUAACAACAUUCGAGCUACCAAACGGUGGGGGUAAAGGUCCCGUCCUUUUAUGGAGCCUGAAAACGAGAUUGACAUUUGAAACGUCCACUGAUCUACUGAAUAAUUAGUAGAUUCGUAAUUGGCGCUGGUGAAAUUACCUUCAUAUUAAUCCAGGUACACUAUCUCUGAUUAUAUAUCUAAUUAGUAUACUACUUAGACUGUAUUGGUAUCUGUACAAAAGCAAAGUUGUGUUUUUCGUGUAGCGGAUAAAUCUUAGGUACACAGUAAAUUUUUAUCUAAUGGAAUAAAAUGUGCAGGUUUGUGCAUAAGAGUUAUGCUAGAUGACCUGUAGCUGCUUUCUGCAAUAUCUUAGUGGCUCUCACCAUCCUGCUCAAUUAAUUGUGUAACAAAGAACAAAAACAUGUUCAUUCUUUCCUUAAUAUUUCUUAAGAAAUGUGUUUUUAGGUCUUUUGUUCCUCCGAGACUAUAUACUUUCUUUUGGAUUGUCAUGUGGUUAUUAAUUUCUUCAAUCAUAGGAUUGUGGAUAUAUCCCAUUGCAGUUGGAGUUGCUGACAGUUGGAGCUGCUAAUGGAACUAUAUUUGUUUCAAUGCUAACUAUAGUAUAAUGCACUUGGAUAGUUAUCAAAUCUGGUGGAAGUAUUUGGAUAUUCUUUGAUCUAGAAUAGAAGAUAUGUUUGAAUGCUAACUUUAAAAAGACUGUAAAGUGUCCAAAUGUGAAACAGGAAGGUCUGCUGAGCCUGAAGACGCAGAUAUACGAUUAAGUUUGUUUCAACUUUUAUCAUCUUUACUCAAACAUAAAUGACUUAUUUUUGCUUGCCAAAAAAUUAUGGUAUACAAAGAAGAAAUAAUCUAUUUUUCUUCUUUCAUCUUUGGACUUUGGUGCAAGUAGUAUGACAUCGCUAUGGAAUGCUCUACUGAUAAUAUUUGGAUCUCGCAUGAAAUUUUACUCGCGCAGCUGCUAAAUUUUUUAGAUUUUAGUCUAUACUAAGGAGAUGCGAGAGACCUUAAUUGUAGAGAUGCAUGCAGGGGAGUAACUUAUUUUGUAUUAAACUUUUAAUUAAUUUUUUUGGUAUUAGGCGUGCUUUCACAAUAAUCUUAUGGUUGAAAUUUUGGGAUGGUUGUAUUUUGUUCUUUUCGGGAUUGUGAAAAUUUGGCUAUCUCAAUGUGCUGAACUUUCUGUUUGGAUCUGUUCUGGAGGACCUUUUGGUAUAUAAAGGUAUAAGCAGCAGUUGCCACGUUCAAGCUAAAGCAGACACUAAACUAUCCAUCAGUUCUACUAAAGCUUUUUUUUUCAAUGGUUAUUUUCAUAUUCAUGAUAGAUUUAAUGUUAUAGCCUACGAACAAUAGCAUCAUGUUCUUGAAAACUAAAUGUCUUCAUAGACAGGAUGGUGGUGCGUCUACUUAAAAUACUGAACGACUUCGACAGGCUGGUGCUGCUGCUAAGGAAAAUAAACCUUAGCUCUUGGUUGUUUAGAUAUGAGUGUGUAAAAGCCUAACAUGUAGCUGAACUUCGAAAUUGGCUAAACCAAUAAUGUAACUAAGUUGAUAAUAAUAAUCCAAAAUUUGAAAAGUAAUUAAGGUAUUCACCUAAGUUUUCAA